RNAcentral lists this long non-coding RNA (263 nucleotides) under Brassica napus (rape). RNAcentral's name for it is "long non-coding RNA (BNAP_LNC014583)". The record is from RNAcentral. Lineage: Eukaryota; Viridiplantae; Streptophyta; Magnoliopsida; Brassicales; Brassicaceae.
CGGUCGAUCCGUUAAUUUUUCCAAGGCUCGAAAUCAUUGUUUACUGACCCUGCAAUCACCACCCGACCUUUUCCCGUGCUUUGGCCUCACUCGCACGCUAUCACGAAUCACUUCCCGAUAGGUCACCCAUCCUUCCACUACUCCAACUCAACUCCAACUCAAGCACGCUUAACUCUGGAGUUCUUUCAGGAUGUGCUCCGGAAAAGGUAAAUCAACUUUGGUGACAUAGGUAGCCAAAUCAAUUCUUUUAAGCCUUUUCACAU